Limanda limanda (common dab) is the source of this 806-nucleotide long non-coding RNA. RefSeq lists it as uncharacterized. Lineage: Eukaryota; Metazoa; Chordata; Actinopteri; Pleuronectiformes; Pleuronectidae. The record is from RefSeq and is a predicted model, not a curated record. The transcript has 3 exons.
UACCAUCGGAGCAAGGUCGUGCUGCAGGAUUUCAGUGUCCGGCCGCGUUUCAGUGCAUCCACGGAUCUGAGAGAGUGAGCAGACCUCAGCACCGAGGAACAGAUCAAAGCUGACAUCGCUUCUAUGACACAGAUAUUUUGGGGUCAGCGGGAACUGGAUACACUCAGAUAUAUGAAGACAUCUGAGGAGGAGCUGCUGCUUCUUCCUGCCUGUCUGGUUUUCCGUGCUCAACUUAAACUUUAACCUCCCCUGAGCCUCCCUGGCUAAUGACUGACGACGUUUUAACACACUUUGAGGAAAGGCCCCACAGCUGUUUGUCCCUGUGUGGUGGAAACACACAUGUUUGCUGGGUCUGACCUUCCUUCAGCCUGAUGCAGGCGCACACCUGCUCCCCCAGCCGCUCGUCUUUCACUCCAACCACCUCAGAGACACAGAACACAUGUUGAAUUUCCACCACAGCCGAUUAAUGUGACUUCUCAGUGGAUCAAAUGUCAACUGUUUACAGUUUUCUCACAAUCUCCGGGGGGCACGGAGAACCUCCCAUGAACCCUGGAGCACAACAGACGGACAAGGCAGCUCAGAGGACGGCUGAACAUCGCACCAAAUUCAAAAUGACGUAAUUUUAACUUUGAAACUUCUCACCAGUUUCAAGCGAUGACAAGUCAUACUUGUGCAAAUCUGGUUGGCUGAGCAAGUCGAUGAACAUUGUGGGAGUGGCAUAGAUGUAAUUGCACCUUGAGAAACAAUAAAUAGGUGCAGGCAGUGAAUGUGCAUGUUAUACGUUUUAAUUAAACUGUGGUGAUGAA